Molecule: long non-coding RNA, 2344 nt
Filed under: Nicotiana tabacum (common tobacco)
Lineage: Eukaryota; Viridiplantae; Streptophyta; Magnoliopsida; Solanales; Solanaceae
Description: long non-coding RNA (NTAB_LNC001335)
Source: RNAcentral
UGAGAAAAUACUACGACAAAUUUAUAUUAACGUAACAAGAAAAUCAUCCUUCAAUAGGUUCCAUCAAAACCUUAGACUAUGAAUUUAGAUACUCAUGAUCAAAGUAACAAUAUCCAAAGUAUGUUGCAUAAUUAAAGUACAAAGUAAAGAUGAAAGGAUGUAGAAAUCGAUGAUUCUAACUCCCAACGGGUGAUUCCACAAGCUAUUCUUGCCUCCGGUUGCAAAAGUCCCUUCAAGUGGCAUUUUUAGGUCUAUUUAUAGGUGUAGGAAAAGACCUAAACGUGUAGGCCAAGUCCUAGUCAAACUCGGAAACGAAUUAAGUAUUCAAAACUCGGAUUGGACCUGGCCCCAGGCCUGGCGUCGCCAGCCUAACGCCUGAUGAACCUGGCUCCAAGCCUAGCGUCGCCAGCCUAACGCAUGGUUCUGCUUGGCCUUUGCCUUGCGUCACCAGCCUAUCGCCAGCUUCUCUCAUUCACUGCUCCCGCGCACGCUUUCGACUUGUAGGUCUCCUUUUUCUUCUACUUUCAUCUCCAAUUCACCUACACAUAAAAUGGACCCUAUUACACGCAAAUAAGGUAUACUUUAUCAUUAAAGCAUAUAGAAUGCAAGACGAAUAAUGUGCUAAACCAUGAAUUAUAGCCACACAUCACUGGCACUUCUUAUUUUGUUGUGCCCCUCAUUGAAUCAUCCACAUUCCAUACUCAAUGGGAAAAGAAGCGAACAUGCACAUUCGUAUAUAUAGUUUUGGAACAAAAGCACUUCGAGAAAAUUAAAUUUAGUACGCAUGAAUAGACUUGGUGAGACCUAUCGCUAGCAUUGUCAAAAGAUUAGACUAAGACAAACCUCUUUUCGUAAUAACUGACGUAUAUGGAUCAUGUGGAUCACUUUGUUGUAUUGAUGUUGUACUUAAUAUGCAAAUCAUUCUAAUUAAUACAUGAAAAAGGUUGUGACUUACAAAAUUUGAAUACAGAGUAGUGACCAGUUAUGUUUCCGUUGACAAAGCCAACUAUUGUGCCAUAUGCAGAAGAUGUAUUAGCUACUGCAGAACAUAGGUUACUUCAAUUUACUUCAAUGCAGUCUAAACUUCGAGUGUGGUAGCAUUAGUCAAAUGUGGAACACAAACUUCAGCUCAAAGAUGUUUAAGACCAAAUUAAACUUGAAAAUUAUAGACCAAUACAACAAAUAAAACUAAUAAUUAACUAAAGAUUAAAGCUUUUUGUAAACCCAUUAUUUAAUGUGCAAUUUAUGCCCAAAAAGUUGGAUUGAAGAGCCAAUUUUUCACUAUUUUUCUAGCCUUUAGAUAAUUGGAAUGUUGUGCGAUUCAUUAAAAUUUUACUGCAUGAACAUCUUUGCUGGCAACCCUGCCAAGAUUUUGAAGUUGUAAUAUGACUAUUUUACUUCCCUUUGAACUUUUCAUUCGUAUUCAAACAAACACAUGCAAGAAAAUUAUUAUUUUUCUUGUGUUUCCUUUAUUAAUCUUUCUUAAAACUCAGUCGCUCAUUACUCUUUUAAGACAUGUUUGAGAUUGUACUGUAGACAAUUCCCAGCACAGUGCAUCGUCAUCAUCUUAAAUUAAUUUUUUCAGUGUCAAUAAACAAUUGAUACUGAAGAACGCAAAACUUUGUUAUUCCAAUUUACAAAAGCUAACUCAACUGAUAGGUUUGGUCGUUCAAGAAUUUUUUCAAACACAUAAACAAUAGAAAAUUAAUCUACUGUGUUAAUAAUUGCUUAUUAUUAGGACUUGGUAUUUUAACCUAUUUCGUUUACUGUAUGAACAUGUGCUAAUCAAGUAGUAUUAACUCUUUUGCUUCUCUUAGGAUGAGAACCCACAAAUAAAAAACUUAAGAUAUACAAAAUUCACAUAUAAUUUAAAAUAUUCAAAAGCCACAAAUGUAAAACCCACAAAAAAUAUAAAAAUUCAAUUUUUAGAACAUAUAAAUUGGAUUUGCAAACUCAAAAAAAUAAAACUUUGAGAAAUCCAAAGGUCACAACGUAGAAAAGAAACCCAGAGAUAAAAGUUCAUAUAAAAGAAUCAAUAUGUUGAAGUGGGUAUAAAUAUAUAAUAAAGCCAACUAAUUCAAUAACCAAAGAAAAGCAGUCAAAUUUUCAAAGCAUAUGAUAACUAUAAAUUCAAACUCUAAAAACAAAAAUUAAAAUCCAUACUUUUACAGCAAAGAGACGAAACCCAUGCGGAAGAUGAAAGUCAUGAUAGAAGAAUUACAAGAGACAAAGAUGAGUAAUUACCAGAGUAAUCCGCCAAAGUACAAAGAUCAGAAGAAGAUGAGCAUGGGAAGGGCGACGUCUGUUUGCAGACAAGAGUUUUUGGUAAAGUGUAGGUUAAUUA